RNAcentral lists this ribosomal RNA (468 nucleotides) under uncultured bacterium. RNAcentral describes it as "partial 16S ribosomal RNA". It matches the Rfam family "Bacterial small subunit ribosomal RNA", at positions 28 to 507 of the family's 1533-position model. The record is from RNAcentral.
GACGAACGCUGGCGGCGUGCUUAACACAUGCAAGUCGAACGGAAAGGCCCUGCUAUUGUGGGGUGCUCGAGUGGCAAACGGGUGUGUAACACGUGAGUAACCUGCCCCUUACUUUGGGAUAACUUCAGGAAAAUGCGGCUACUACCGGCUAGGAGCUCCUGCUACAUGGUGGGGGUUGGAAAGUUUAGGCGGUUGGGGAUGGACUCGGGGGUUAUCAGCUGGUUGGUGGGGUAGUGGCUUACCAAGGCUUUGACGGGUAGCCGGCCUGAGCGGGGGACCGGCGACAUGGGGACUGAGAUAGGGCCCAGAGGGCAAUGGGAGGCAGCAGGGGGGAGUAUGGCACAAUGGGCGGGAGCCUGAGGCAGCGACGUCGCGUGCGGGAUGACGGCCUUCGGGUUGUAAACAGCUUUUGCCUGAGACGAAGCGUGAGUGACGGUAAUGGAUAAAGAAGCACCGGCUAACUACGUG